AGCGGGGUAGAGCAGCCUGGAGUGCUCGUGAGGCUCAUAACCUCAAGGUCGUAGGUUCAAAUCCUACCCCCGCUA
Molecule: transfer RNA, 75 nt
Filed under: archaeon
Lineage: Archaea
Description: tRNA-Met
Rfam family: tRNA
About the family: Transfer RNA (tRNA) molecules are approximately 80 nucleotides in length. Their secondary structure includes four short double-helical elements and three loops (D, anti-codon, and T loops). Further hydrogen bonds mediate the characteristic L-shaped molecular structure. tRNAs have two regions of fundamental functional importance: the anti-codon, which is responsible for specific mRNA codon recognition, and the 3' end, to which the tRNAs corresponding amino acid is attached (by aminoacyl-tRNA synthetases). tRNAs cope with the degeneracy of the genetic code in two manners: having more than one tRNA (with a specific anti-codon) for a particular amino acid; and 'wobble' base-pairing, i.e. permitting non-standard base-pairing at the 3rd anti-codon position.
Source: RNAcentral